GUCUGAGUGUCUGUCUCUAGUGUCUGUCUGUCUCUAGUGUCUGUCUGUCUGUCUGUCUGUCUGUCUGUCUGUCUGUCUGUCUCUAGCGUCUGUCUCUAGCGUAUGUCUGUCUCUAGCGUAUGUCUGUCUGUCUCGUAUGUCUGUCUCUAGCGUAUGUCUGUCUCUAGCGUAUGUCUGUCUCUAGCGUAUGUCUGUCUGUCUGUCUCUAGCGUAUGUCUGUCUCUAGCGUAUGUCUGUCUCUAGCGUAUGUCUGUCUGUCUCGUAUGUCUGUCUGUCUGUCUCUAGCGUCUGUCUCUAGUGUCUGUCUCUAGCGUCUGUCUCUAGUGUCUGUCUGUCUGUCUCUAGCUUCUGUCUGUCUCCAGUGUCUGUCUGUCUGUCUGUCUGUCUGUCUGUCUCUAGUGUCUG
Molecule: long non-coding RNA, 405 nt
Organism: Oncorhynchus keta (chum salmon)
Lineage: Eukaryota; Metazoa; Chordata; Actinopteri; Salmoniformes; Salmonidae
Exons: 3
Source: RefSeq, a predicted model, not a curated record